Molecule: long non-coding RNA, 612 nt
Organism: Triticum aestivum (bread wheat)
Lineage: Eukaryota; Viridiplantae; Streptophyta; Magnoliopsida; Poales; Poaceae
Exons: 4
Source: RefSeq, a predicted model, not a curated record
UGAGGGGGAAUGGGGCUGGGCAUGGCAUCCUGCUCAAGGGCAGUGGUUCUGGCCGACGGUUCUAGGUGAUACCCAGUGGCGAAUGACCAAGUGGCCAAAUGCUGCACCAGUGCUGCCUCUACUACCAUUAUCUGCCCAGGACCAGAAAAUGGAUAAUCCAGAGAAUGUGGGCCAUAUGGUAGGGAAGGAGUUUGGGAUGUUCUUUGCUCAUGCCACGGCCUUUGUCCUCCUAUUCUUACAGUGUGGAACUCCAGAGUAUAUUGAUCAGCCUCAUCAGAGAUACGAAGAGGCAAUGGAUAGUUAACUGCAGAGUCAUGCUGUUUUCUCCCAUUGCCGAGGCACAGCUGAGAGGAGUUUCAAUGUUCCAAUGCUGGCAAGAUUUAAGUUGAAGGCUGCGGCUACGAGCUUGUGGGCUGAUUCGCAAUGCGUUCCAGUUUGAUCAAAUUCUCCAAAAGUUGCACUGAUGAGCCAAUGCAUUGCUGAGUGAAUCUUUUUGUAAUUUUCUGUUGCUUAGGUCUACUUACUGAAUCAGUGAAUCUUAUUGAUUCAUGUUUCUCAUGACUUCCUUGUAAAAAAUUAACAUACUAUAGCAUCUUACCGGAUCUUUUUUUA